GGCCAAACGUCCGUCAGGGGUGAGCAGAUGUGCGCCGGCCGUACCGCCCCAUUCUUGUCUACCUUACUCGGUUGCCUCGGCGGGCCGCGCUCUCUCAGGAGAGCCGUUCGGCGAGCCUCUCUUUAGUGGCUCAACGCUGGACCGCGCCCGCCGGAGGACAGACGCAAAAAAAUUCUUUCAGAAGAGCUGUCAGUCUGAGCGUUAGCAAGCAAAAAUCAGUUAAAACUUUCAACAACGGAUCUCUUGGUUCCGGCAUCGAUGAAGAACGCAGCGAAAUGCGAUAAGUAAUGUGAAUUGCAGAAUUCCGUGAAUCAUCGAAUCUUUGAACGCACAUUGCGCCCCCUGGCAUUCCGGGGGGCAUGCCUGUUCGAGCGUCAUUUCAGCCCCUCAAGCCCGGCUUGUGUGAUGGACGACCGUCCGGCGCCCCCGUCUUUGGAGGUGCGGGACGCGCCCGAAAAGCAGUGGCCAGGCCGCGAUUCCGGCUUCCUAGGCGAAUGGGCAACAAACCAGCGCCUCCAGGACCGGCCGCCCUGGCCUCAAAAUCUGUUUUAUACUUAUCAGGUUGACCUCGGAUCAGGUAGGGAUACCCGCUG
RNAcentral lists this ribosomal RNA (593 nucleotides) under Trichophyton mentagrophytes. Its description in RNAcentral is "eukaryotic LSU rRNA". The stretch from base 224 to 377 matches the Rfam family "5.8S ribosomal RNA". Lineage: Eukaryota; Fungi; Ascomycota; Eurotiomycetes; Onygenales; Arthrodermataceae. The record is from RNAcentral.